Hevea brasiliensis (rubber tree) is the source of this 89-nucleotide small nucleolar RNA. RefSeq annotates it as small nucleolar RNA R44/J54/Z268 family. Lineage: Eukaryota; Viridiplantae; Streptophyta; Magnoliopsida; Malpighiales; Euphorbiaceae. The transcript has a single exon. The record is from RefSeq and is a predicted model, not a curated record.
UAUGCAAGUGAUGAUAAAAUAGACAGGGACAUCAGUUACUCUUUUGGAGAAUGAUGACUUAGUCGAAAUGGGAAUCUCUCUGAUGCAUU